GAGAUGGAUUGGUGCCUUCGGGAACUCUGACACAGGUGCUGCGUGGCUGUCGUCAGCUCGUGUCGUGAGAUGUUGGGUUAAGUCCGUACGAGCGCAACCCUUGUCCUUAGUUACCAGCACGUUAUGGUGGGCGACUCUAAGGAGACUGCCGGGUGACAAACCGGAGGAAGGUGGGGAUGACGUCAAGUCAUCAUGGCCCUUACGGCCUGGGCUACACACGUGCUACAAUGGUCGGUACAAAGGGUUGCCAAGCCGCGAGGUGGAGCUAAUCCCAUAAAACCGAUCGUAGUCCGGAUCGCAGUCUGCAACUCGACUGCGUGAAGUCGGAAUCGCUAGUAAUCGUGAAUCAGAAUGUCACGGUGAAUACGUUCCCGGGCCUU
This 380-nucleotide ribosomal RNA is filed under the name uncultured Pseudomonas sp. RNAcentral's name for it is "bacterial SSU rRNA". It matches the Rfam family "Bacterial small subunit ribosomal RNA", at positions 1003 to 1382 of the family's 1533-position model. Lineage: Bacteria; Pseudomonadati; Pseudomonadota; Gammaproteobacteria; Pseudomonadales; Pseudomonadaceae. The record is from RNAcentral.